UGGGGAAUAUUGCACAAUGGGCGCAAGCCUGAUGCAGCCAUGCCGCGUGUAUGAAGAAGGCCUUCGGGUUGUAAAGUACUUUCAGCGGGGAGGAAGGGAGUAAAGUUAAUACCUUUGCUCAUUGACGUUACCCGCAGAAGAAGCACCGGCUAACUCCGUGCCAGCAGCCGCGGUAAUACGGAGGGUGCAAGCGUUAAUCGGAAUUACUGGGCGUAAAGCGCACGCAGGCGGUUUGUUAAGUAAGAUGUGAAAUCCCCGGGCUCAACCUGGGAACUGCAUCUGUUACUGGCAAGCUUGAGUCUCGUAGAGGGGGGUAGAAUUCCAGGUGUAGCGGUGAAAUGCGUAGAGAUCUGGAGGAAUACCGGUGGCGAAGGCGGCCCCCUGGACGAAGACUGACGCUCAGGUGCGAAAGCGUGGGGAGCAAACAGG
RNAcentral lists this ribosomal RNA (429 nucleotides) under Chloroflexota bacterium. RNAcentral's name for it is "Chloroflexi bacterium partial 16S ribosomal RNA". It matches the Rfam family "Bacterial small subunit ribosomal RNA", at positions 355 to 776 of the family's 1533-position model. The record is from RNAcentral. Lineage: Bacteria; Bacillati; Chloroflexota.